AGUUCGGACUGUAGUCUGCAACCCGACUACACGAAGCUGGAAUCGCUAGUAAUCGCGGAUCAGAAUGCCGCGGUGAAUACGUUCCCGGGUCUUGUACACACCGCCCGUCACACCAUGGGAGUCAGUAACGCCCGAAGUCAGUGACCUAACCGAAAGGGAGGAGCUGCCGAAGGCGGGACGGAUGACUGGGGUGAAGUCGUAACAAGGUACC
This 211-nucleotide ribosomal RNA is filed under the name uncultured bacterium. Its description in RNAcentral is "partial 16S ribosomal RNA". It matches the Rfam family "Bacterial small subunit ribosomal RNA", at positions 1290 to 1500 of the family's 1533-position model. The record is from RNAcentral.